GUGAAUCAUCGAAUUUUUGAACGCAUAUUGCACUCUCUGGUAUUCCGGAGAGUAUGCCUAUUUGAGGGUCAUUUAAAAUAAUAUCCAUUCUAAUGUUUCUCGGAAUUUACAAGGGUUUGUAUUUUGUUGUUUGUCGCUUAAGAACCAAGUCAAGCUCAUUGUAUUAGGUUGCAUCUUACUUUAAGUUACCUCGUACUUUGAACAGUAAUCAUCGUGCUG
This 219-nucleotide unclassified non-coding RNA is filed under the name Glomeromycetes sp. Its description in RNAcentral is "partial contains 5.8S ribosomal RNA and internal transcribed spacer 2". The stretch from base 1 to 71 matches the Rfam family "5.8S ribosomal RNA", at positions 84 to 154 of the family's 154-position model. The record is from RNAcentral. Lineage: Eukaryota; Fungi; Glomeromycota; Glomeromycetes.